This 541-nucleotide ribosomal RNA is filed under the name uncultured bacterium. RNAcentral describes it as "partial 16S ribosomal RNA". It matches the Rfam family "Bacterial small subunit ribosomal RNA", at positions 355 to 896 of the family's 1533-position model. The record is from RNAcentral.
UAAGGAAUAUUGGUCAAUGGACGCAAGUCUGAACCAGCCAUGCCGCGUGGAGGAUGAAGGUCCUCUGGAUUGUAAACUUCUUUUAUCUGGGAAGAAACCACNGAUUUCUAUUNNNGUUGACGGUACCAGANGAAUAAGCACCGGCUAACUCCGUGCCAGCAGCCGCGGUAAUACGGAGGGUGCAAGCGUUAUCCGGAUUCACUGGGUUUAAAGGGUGCGUAGGNGGGCAGGUAAGUCAGUGGUGAAAUCUCCGGGCCUAACCCGGAAACUGCCGUUGAUACUAUCUGUCUUGAAUAUCGUGGAGAUGAGCGGAAUACGUCAUGUAGCGGUGAAAUGCUUAGAUAUGACNUAGAACACCGAUUGCGAAGGCAGCUCGUUACACNNUUAUUGACUCUGAGGCACGAAAGCGUGGGGAUCAACCAGGAUUAGAUACCCUGGUAGUCCACGCCCUAAACGAUGNNUACUCGACAUCAGCGAUACACUGUUGGUGUCUGAGCGAAAGCAUUAAGUANUCCACCUGGGAAGUACGACCGCAAGGUUG